This 623-nucleotide long non-coding RNA is filed under the name Equus caballus (horse). RNAcentral's name for it is "lncRNA (ENSECAG00000052760.1)". The record is from RNAcentral. Lineage: Eukaryota; Metazoa; Chordata; Mammalia; Perissodactyla; Equidae.
UCUGAUUUCAAAGAGAUGCUCGCAUUCUAUACUGAUGCCAUCUAGGAGUGUAAAUGCCCCAUGUCACACUGCUGAGUGGAGAAAGGAAGUAAGAAUUGACUUCUUGUCCAGUUCAGCACACUGACAUCCAUCAGCUCAAUAUCCCACUGGCACUUGUGGAAGAAGAUUACAAAAUGGAGUCACAUGCAUCAAGAGUACCUUAAAUGGACCCAGGAAGCCAUCAGGGAAGUGCGGCAUAUGCGCCUCUUUACCCAGAGAGUAUGUAAACUUUUGAAUUAUGCUUCACUGCUGGCAUCCUGACCUUCAUUCAAGACAUAUGCUUUCUUGGGGCCAGGCUGGUAGCACCUCAGGAACAGAGAAUGAAAUAACUAUGGCUGAGCUGUCAAAGCCCCUGGCAGUGUGUUUCUCCACUCCCUCCACGACUGCCUCUCUCCAAGCAUACAGCAUUUCCUCCGUGAACGAACUUACCCUCAGCCUUCCUCAGAGGCCUUCACUGUUGAACCAGUCCUCAGGGUGCCCAUCGUCUUUCCUCUGGUGUGUCAAACAAAGUGUCGGUUGCUGAGUCAUGUCAGUUUAUCGUCAAAGGAUAAGUCUAUAAAGCCAAACAUGAUCAUGCUUCAUAA